GUCAGUAUGGCCGAGUGGUUAAGGCGAUAGACUCGAAUUCUGAUAUCUAUUGGGUUCGCCCGCCUAGGUUCAAGUCCUAGUGCUGACG
Aspergillus oryzae is the source of this 88-nucleotide transfer RNA. It matches the Rfam family "tRNA". Rfam says of the family: Transfer RNA (tRNA) molecules are approximately 80 nucleotides in length. Their secondary structure includes four short double-helical elements and three loops (D, anti-codon, and T loops). The record is from Rfam. Lineage: Eukaryota; Fungi; Ascomycota; Eurotiomycetes; Eurotiales; Aspergillaceae.